GCGGCAGGCAGCACGGCCGUCAGGUCGUAGAUGCCCAGCGUGAAGAAGAGCAGGAAGCCGAGCAGGUGACUCCAGAUGUUGACGGUCUCGUUGGAGAGGAUGAAGAGGCUGCGAGGAGACACAACGCGGGACAGGCGGUCCUGUGCCCUGCAGAACUCUGCCAAUGUUUUUUGUCUCAUUAAACCACGUGGUGUGACAGAUGUGAAGAAUUUCCCCACGGCAGAGGUGUGUAAUGUGAAGUAAAAGCGAAGGUGUCCUGGGCUGAUGACACAAUUCAAUUUUGAGGGGCAGUCCUUCACCAGGCUCACAGAGGGAACUUGACACAGCCUUGCUGCAAUUUAUACCAGCUGCAACAUAGAUACUUAUAUGGAAAAUCUGGGGAUGGGCUUGGCCCGGUGCUGCUGCUGCCUCUUGCAGAGAAGUUAGGGCUUGUGGCAUGGAGUCUUGUCACCAACUACAAGAAUCAAAGGUGGUCUCCAAGGGAAGAAAAUGAAGCAUUGACAAUGGUGAGGACCUGCCUGCUGCCGGAUUGUUCCCAACAGCCUGUUCCUGACUCCUUGUGAAUGCCUCUGUGACAAAAUGGCAACCUUUACCCUGACAAGACAACUCUUAAGUGGGAAGGUGUUUGCUCCUAACCUGAGCUCUAAGGGAGAUGGUUGUGGGACACCAUGUCCACAUUAGUCUGUGGGAGGAAAUGAUGGAUUAUUUGCACUGUGAUCUACUUUUUAAACCCCUCUGAAGAAGGCAGUUCUACCAGAGGUUGCCACUCCCUCUUUCAGCAUCCCACCUUCAGGACGUGUCUUUCCUGAGCUUCCAGGUCACCCAGGCAAUCCUGUGGGUUUUUGUUCUGCGCUGCUUCUUCUGUGCUGGUUCCUGCUCAGGCAGCAAUGCACUGCAAACGAAGCUCCAAAGUUACUUGAGUAAUGCGGUCCUGAACCACCUUCCCUACAGCUGAGUUUGUGCACUGAGCACCCAUAGCUGAAAGCAGGACUUCCAAGAGAGGCCAGCUGCCAAAAGCUCCUGCAUAGACUCAGUGACCAGACCUCUGGAAGAAAAUGGGAAACGGAAGUCAUGUAUUUUGAGCUGUAAAUGCCACGUGAGCUUUUUAAGGGAAUCUACGCACUCUGUUCCUGUUCCAUAUGAAGCGGCAUAUGAGGAUUUGAAAAACCGGUAAUGCCAGUGCUGAACCUUCCGAUGAGGCUACAGAAAUCCCACCCAGCCCGACAGCCAGAGCUCCCACUGAUAUGUUCUGGUGGCAAGGGGCCCAAGCUGAAUCCUGAUGCAGAAGUUUUCCUGCAGGGACCCUGACAGCCCACAGCAGAAGCUCAGCAAACCAAGGCCUCAGUGUUCCUACCUGUGGCACCAGGAAAUGGCUGAAUAAGACAUGUCAGGGAACGAGAAGCCAGUGAAAGGGACUUUUGGUGACAUCCCCCCUGUUUAAUGAAGCUUGGAGUUCUGGGCAACUGCAACUGUUAGUUGGCUCUUGCCGUAAUUGAUGGACACUGCCAGUUGCUUAGACAGAUGGGAAUUAAUGCUGGUGUUCCCAUUAGAACUUGCCAUCACAAUCAUGUUGGCGUUAGUCUCCUGCACAGAGUUGAUGUGUGUAAGCCAACGUGUGUGGAAGGAGCGAACACAGGUCAUACCUACGGUCCUUCCUUCCAAGGCAUUGAAGCCACCCAUCCAACACAAAGCUGAUGAACUGCUUGCCAGCAGCUUACAGAACACUUCACAAUGGUAAGGAAAAGACUUCUUUCCUUGAUGUUCAGAGGUUGCAGCGAGCCGGACUGUCAUCGCCGGAGGCAUCUGUGAGCUGUAUUCGGAGGCUCCUGAGCCCCCGUUUGGGACGGGGAGGGUCUGAGUGGGCACAUCUGAGCGCAUCCUCUGAACUCCAGUACUCGCAGCACAGGCACCACCCUAUGCUGCCAUGGCCUCAGAACUGACCAGCAGCUUUGUCUGUUCCUCCUCUCGCUCCCAUCAGUGUUCACAGAGGGAUGAGUCCCGAAGGCUCCUUUAAAGAGAGCAGCAGACUCAACUGCACCAAGAGAGGCAGUGCCGAGAGCAGCAGUGCCAAGAGCAGCUGCCUACAUAGUUUGGAAAAUAUACCUGUUUCUCCUGACACCAGCACAACAUCCUCUCUUCAGCAGGAUGAUCCCUCCCCCUUCCACUGACUGACAGCAAACUUCUCAACUUCUAAGAGAGCCACUCCUGCUGGGAUGGGCACCUCUGGGGCCACCAGGCCGGACCCUCCCGAGGGCAGCCUCAGCCCAGGUCACAGGGUGAGGCCAUGAUUCCACUGACCAGGGGCAUCUCUCCGGAGGAAGCACUGCUAUCCACAUAGCUCAGAUGCAAGCUUCUUUUGGCCCUUCAGCACAAAAGAACUCCAGUAAGUUCAUGAUUGAUAACUGUGUUAAUCUCUUGCCUGUCACUCACUGUUUUAACUAAAGGGGCAGGUGUGUCUUCCCCAAAAUAGGCCUUUUUCCCUUAAGGGAAGCCACAGGAGAAAUAUUUUCUGGAAUUCAGUGCAGUGCUUCACUCAGCAGGAUGCAUCACUUUGUGCUGGGGACCAGUCCUGAACUCUGGCUGAACAGGGCCGACUGAAAGUAAUACUCUUACAGGUACUUUCCUCUCUAACUGUGAACUGAAGAAUUUUAACAGUAAUACAGGUCAUACUAUUACACUGUUCUGGAAGUAUAAGAGACAUUUUUGUGCCGUUUUAGCUCUCCAGUCUAUACAAACAAAUUCCCACUUAACCAAUGGCAGGGGCAAUAUUUUAGCAGGAAACAUUUAAGGAAAAGUGGUGCUCCAGCUUCCUUCUCAUACUUAGCUUUGCAUCUCCUUGCAAUUGCAGCAGUUCAGAAGAUCCAAUCGACUUGGCUAAGUGCUACUGAAGUUUCUUUUUUAAAACCCUCAGUUGACAAUUUCUUGAGCAUAAUUUCCCCUUUUUGCUGAAUACACAACACCAAACUACCACUGAACAAGAAGUGAACUGAUUCUUCCACUGUAACAUCAGUUACUGUUGGGGCACUUGGAUUUUCAGUCUGGGAAGUGUACAAUACCUGUUAGCAGCCACAGUUAUCUUUCUCUGAGAUUACCUGAUAUGAACAUACUAAGUUCACUUGUUAUUUCUCUGUGCAUUUCACCAUUUUGCAGUGAUUAAAAAGGAAACCAGAGGAGGAAAUGCAGAAGAACCACAAAGGGACCGAUGACGUGGCCCCACCUCAGAGGACUUAGCACUGUCAAUGCGUCUCACACUGUCUCACACUGCAGGUUGUGCUGCUGGCAGUUACCAUGCAGAAUAUAAUGCUUUGUGUAAUGCAUAGGUGCUCAAAAAGUAACAGUUUAAAUAGACGUUUGUGUUAACUCUGUACCCAUUAAUAGCAAAGAACCUUUAAAGUAUGUAAGUACUAAUAGGCUUAAAACUAAAAACAAGUACAAGUGGUUUCCUUUUCAAUAGGCUGUUUUGUACAUGAAAGUACCAGCUGAAAGCAUUCCACACUUCUACUCUAUUCUGAUUCUUUUAGAAUGAGCUACAAUCUUUUUACCAGUUGCACCUAUUUGCACCCUGAAAGGGCAAAAUCUUCACUACAACUGCCACGGGCUAUUUGUGAACUUAAAAAGACAUUCAUGUGCAUAAAUGCACACAGGAUCAGAGUCUCAGCCACCAUCAUAUUGCAACAAGCUCGAAGAAUACAAAAGCCUGAUCAUCUUUUGUGCUAAACUAUCAGUUGGAAAAUAAACACACGGACUUAGAGGAAAGACCAGAACCCUGGGGCUGAUGCUGUGACUCCGUGCGAGGCUGUGUUCCCAGGCAGCCCUAGACUCCUGGGAAGAGGGGUUCAGUACAGACCCUUAGACACCGAACUGGUUUAUGACAGUACCCCAGACUGCUGUGCUUAGUCUUCUUUGCCCCUUCAAUAAAAAAAAGGAAGAAAGUCUACCUAGUAGCAUGGACGCAGGGUAAUGCAUCAUUUAUAAAUUACCUAGUUAGUGCAGAAAACAACACAUGGCUCUGCAGCCGAAAUCUCCUGCUGCGGACUCACUCCGUUUGAUGGGAGCCCUUCAAAAGCAUUGGUGGCUUAAUGGAGGCGGUUUGAGGGGACCUCGCUCCUUACCUGCUGUCCCUGUGCUUCUCCGGGAGCUCGGCGGCAGCUGCCGCGGCGUGCAGCUGUCUCUGAAGUGGCUGUGUGUCCUCAGCCCCCAGCACAGGCAGCCUGCCUUGGAUCUGUGUUUGUGCCUGAGGCGAGCUGGGGAGCGCAGCUGUGUCCACCCCGCGCUACCUUUGGUGUUGCGGCCCCUGGGCCCCACGCCGCCCCGACCUGCCCCACGCGCUCCUGCAGCUGCUGCUGCCCGCGCUCCAACGGCGCCGGGCCCGCCACAGCUGUGCCCACAGCCUGCCCGCUAACACCUGUGCCGUGCCUGCUUCAAACAGCCGUGGCUCGCAGGACUUCAGCCACCGUCAGAGCCUCCCAGAGCAGCCCGUGCUCUUGGCCACCCUCGGCACCGCCGGGCAUGUGGCACCUAUGGGACAGGACAGGGAGGCAGGAACAGCUUGCUCUGCUUUGAUACUUCAUGCCUAAAUUUCAACUGCUUGAUCAAGGAUUCAAAUUCAGCAGUGAAUUCUUCUACAAAUGGAAUUACUGAGUUCUUAAACAGUAAAAGAAGGGACAUUAAAUUGAACAACUCCAUAGCUGCUGUUUCCAAGCACCAAACUUCAUACCAGGAAAAUAAUCAAAAUUCUCAUUACCUCCCAUUCUACCACAGUGCCCAGACCUGCCCAGCCCAGCUGUCCCUUGCCCCCCCCGGCGCCACACACCAACCUCAUCUCCUUGCUGGGGUCGCAUCAGCGAGACUCUGUCAUACUGCCGCCGGAGCAGCGCCCACAGCGCGUCGAGCCGGCCCUGCGGAGACAGCACGGGCGUCUGUCAGCGGCGAGCACACCUCACCUGCACCAGGACCGUCCACAGGGAUCCCAGGGACAUCGACUGCCAGGACACAGCCGGAUCAGCACACUGUAAGCCUGAGCUGUGUCACCCACAGCAUGCUGCGGGGCUGCUCCUGCCCACCUGCAGUGCCAGGAAGGGCACUCGCCUAAUGCACCUGCUCCCUGCUCGGAGCCAUCCAGGACUUGUGCUUGGUCUGCCAUGGCAUGGGCUCGAUUGCCACAUGACCUUGUAGAGUUUAUCCCACAUGUGUGUGUUUGUUUUACAGCACAUACUCGGGGACUGUUGUGCAGGACACACACACCAGCUCUGCUGCGGGUCAGGAACAUCCUGUUCCACAUGGAUGGUUCCAGAGCUUGCCUGUGUGUCUGGACAACAUGGCUUCAAGGCUUGUUGGGCGUCAGAAAGGACUGAAAGGGAGUUGGGAAGACAGACGUAUCCCUGCUUCCAGCUACACCAGUGUGUUCUCUGCUCUUGCCUCUUAAAGCAAGGUAUUUACAGACGCACCCUCCGUAUGUCAGAAGCACUUGUGACGGGUUUGCAGGUGGCUCAGGGCACUGUUAUUAUGAGCCAGGAAAAACGAUUCCCUUUCUGUCAGAUUUCUUGCAUUAUAUUGUUCUAUGUAAUUUUUUGCUUUCCUUGGUUUGUAAUGAGUAUGUGUGUUUAAAACUUUGUGUUAACAGCUAUAAAUUGUGUAGUUUUGGGCUUAAUUAGCUCUACUUUGAGAUAGACCAAAUGCCAAUGAAGCCCCCGUAGAUUUUAAUGCUCUCACUGUACAGUAUGUCCCUUUCUGGGGGAAGGCAAACGGAAUGUGGCAGUAAUGAUCAAGUACUGCAUUUAGGGCUAAAAACUGCUCCUGCCAUUCAUGCUGAGUAGGUGUUCCCUUUGAGAAUAGCACAUCACACUUGAAUGGGAACACUUGGAAUAUACUGUGCAGUUCAGCCUGCGUAAGGCAGGUAAAACAGACAGAAUCCAGCCUUUAUAAUAAAUCAUACCAAGAACUGAAAAAAUUACCUUGAUUGGCGUGUACCACUUCUGCUGCAUGGCUGGUGAGGUAGGCUUUGGUUUAGGUGGUUUAGGGUGAAAAGGUUCUUCUGGUUCUUCUGGGAGUUUCACCACAGCAUUCUUUGCUUUUUCCAACCUGGCCCCUUCUUCCGUGGAGCCCUUGUCACCCCAGCGCACCUGAGGAAAGGCAGAGUUCAGGUGUGAGUGCACUGCAUGCACAGGGCAGGGAAAUGCUGCAAGUAACAGGGGGAUAAAUUUGGAAGAAGUUCUGGAUAAACAGGAGGAGAGGUACUGAGGAAAACAUUACCUCUUCAUUAUUCUUAGUUAAAUGUAUUUGUAAAUGAGUCUCUCAGUGGUGAAAAGUCAAGAGAAAUACCGAAAGAAAAUUCCACCAUGCCUCACUCCGGCUGUACAGGAGAAGGGGAAUCUGGGAAGCCUUUUUAAGGUUUCCUAAUCCAGAGUGUUUGUUGAGAACCCCAGCAUAGAUCAAAGAUGAUGCUUGGGCACGUUUGAGUAGAAGCUGCUUGAACCCACUGAGAUUUCCACGUUAUUCUGCAGGAACACACAUACUGGAGAAAUGCAGGGAAGCUGCCAGAGCGAUCAAGUUGCUGGAGGAACAGCAGAAGAACAGAGGACAGAGAAGCAGUGAAAACCAGUCAACUGUGUUGCCACACAGACUGCAAACAGGGAAGAGAUGUCAUGACUAGUGCAGCAAUUUUGUCACUGGCCACAGCAAAGAAACCACCUCUAACUGCCAGGAGUUUCCAGAUUACUUAGCAGAAAUCAAUUAUUUAAUUAGUGAAACAUUCCUGAGAGCCAGACUGGAAUUACUACCCUAACUUUACGUGAAAUGGCAACACAGAGGAAUCGUGGCAGAGAUCCUGAGAGAUACCUGGGUGCUGAGCAGGAUUUUCCAAGUCAGUUAAGAGACUGCAAAAGGAAACCAGGCACUGCCAGGGAAGCAGACCCAGAUCAAGGGAAGAAGAGGUCCUGCCUGGCCCUAAUGCUGCACGUCUCCUUGAGGACACUUCCCUGAAGCCCAGGACUACAGAGCCAAAAGGGGCCCUUCCAGCUGAUGUCCGAGCCUCAGGGGCAGAAGGGAGGGGCAAGAACAGAGGCGCACAGCACAAGAACCCAAGGAACAGCCAGCAAAACCAAAGAAAGGCAAGGCUCAUGAUCUAAAGUGAGAGCAAAGUGACUGACAGAACCCUCCCUAUAUUUCUGAUGUUGGGCCUGUGCCGGGGAGAAGAAGACAUAAGAGAGGCUUUUUAUUACAGAAGAGGUCAUUGUUCUUGCCUCAGGAACCCCAGACUGUGAGGGUACAGAUGGAGGCUGAGGACUUCCUGCCCUCAGACAGCCUGGGGCCCCACAGAUCCGCUGGAUUAUGGGACCUGCACACGGUCAGGUUUCUGAUCUGCAAGCAGUAGCAAUCCUGUUGAAGAACUGCAGGCUGACGAGCAGAAGGGACUGUUCGCCAUGCUCCACGCCUGAUGGGAAAGCUGCUCCCAAGUCACACUUCAGAUGAGACACAUUUAAAGGCACACAGUGCCCGUGCACAGCACGUGUUAAACACUGGGGGCUUGUGUCUCCCUGCACAAAUCCCAACUGUCCUACCCACGUAAUGGAGAGCAGAAAUGUGACACUAGAAAAUUGUAUUAAAUAAGGCAUAAAGGUACGAAGUUCAAACAGUCACUCUCUGCACAAGUAUGUGAUUUCUUCCAGAAGCAGUUUUAACUCUUUUCUAUAACCUGUGAUCAGAUUCAGCAGGAUGUUCACCCUGCCUUACCCUCAGGUGUAACUGGGGUACUCUGGUCUGUGCUUGGACUGGCUGUCUCCCCAGAUUAACGGAGUUAAGAGCCUACACUCGUUACUCAGGCUCCAGAGUUACGGAGCAUCAGUACCCUCCUGUAGGAUUGUAACCCUCCCUCCACGCCCAGGCUGAAGUCCCACGGUUCUGCCUACUCUGCUCCCCCCCAUCCUACUCAGGGAAGCCAUCCUGGAAUGGGACUCCAGGUGGCUGUGUCACACCUGCCCCUUGGGACAUGGUUAUAUUUACAGUGAGCGUGUCUCCAAGGGCAGGGAAGCCUCCCAGUAUUUUGAAGGCCACAGCUUUCCACAGGGAAGUGCAAUCAGAGAUUCCCCGCAGUGAGAGGUCCUGCAAUGGCAAAGCCCAAAGGGAAAUGAGAUUUGGGAAUUUUACACAGGAUUGUGGUCGUCUUUUACUUACACACUCCGAAGCGGUGAUGGUUAACGAGCUGGACAUGAAAGACUGGCCUUCCUUCAAACUCACCAAAACCUCCAGGGUUCUGCAAAGAGAGAGAGAAAAAACAUGAGCAACCAUGUAACAGUCAGGAAAGGCUCACACCUGCUCCAGAGGCUCCUGUAUCUACAGCCUCUGCUCCACAGAGAGUGUCCCCAGAUGGGAAAUGGAGGCCUGUGCUCACUCUUGUUUGGGAGUAAGUUUGGUCACCUUGACGGAGCUACCUGAGUAGAGAUUACCCAUUCUCUUUUCCAUGCAGCAUAAAAGACUGGCAAAAGUUUUACAUAAAAUAAAUUGAAGUUCAGCUGUAAAAUUAACAUUGUUUUCUCUGUUCCAUAACCAUCUUUUUAGUCACAUGCAGACAUUAUGGAUAAAAAUGUCGGAUAAUUAUAAAUGGUCAGGACUUGCUAUAAAUAGCCCCAAACACUGCAUACAAAUGGUACGUGGUUUACAUUUUACAAAUUAACCCUACAAGAAAACAACACAUGGUGGAUGUUAAACAGAAGAAGACUCUUCUCUGGCUUGGAUUCCCAGGAUUCAGACAGUUUAUAUUAUGCAUAGAUGUAAUUAAAUAAAAAUAUAGAUAUCCAUGAACUAAAAUGAUUAAUCAUUUAUACCAUUCUUACAUGUCAUGAGUUUUUAUUCUGGCACAAACACUUUAGUCAAUAUGGAGUUCAAAGCCAUUUUAACUAAUUUGGCUAAUUUCUUCUUCAUUGGUAGCAAAAAUGAAGUGAGUUGCUUCGACUAAACUAAUUCUUAAAUUAUCUGUGCCAUAAAUAAUUGAUCCAACAGAAAGAAUAACUCUAAUUUCUUUCUAAUUAUUACUGGAAUAAGUGAAUCAGAACAGAUAAAAAUAAAAAAAAAAUAAAAUUUCUU
Molecule: long non-coding RNA, 9081 nt
Organism: Myiozetetes cayanensis
Lineage: Eukaryota; Metazoa; Chordata; Aves; Passeriformes; Tyrannidae
Exons: 21
Source: RefSeq, a predicted model, not a curated record